Molecule: non-coding RNA, 120 nt
Organism: Mycena haematopus
Lineage: Eukaryota; Fungi; Basidiomycota; Agaricomycetes; Agaricales; Mycenaceae
Source: the annotation of a GenBank genome assembly
GGUGAGAUGGCCGAGCGGUCUAAGGCGCCAGACUAAGGAUCAGCUUCUUUCGAAGCAUAAUUUGUGAAGCAAUUUACAAUCUGGUCCUCCGGGGCGUGGGUUCGAAUCCCACUCUCAUCA